RNAcentral lists this ribosomal RNA (390 nucleotides) under uncultured bacterium. RNAcentral's name for it is "bacterial SSU rRNA". It matches the Rfam family "Bacterial small subunit ribosomal RNA", at positions 30 to 424 of the family's 1533-position model. The record is from RNAcentral.
AUUGAACGCUGGCGGCAUGCCUUACACAUGCAAGUCGAACGGCAGCGGACCUUCGGGUGCCGGCGAGUGGCGAACGGGUGAGUAAUAUAUCGGAACGUACCUUUCAGUGGGGGAUAACGUAGCGAAAGUUACGCUAAUACCGCAUAUUCUGUGAGCAGGAAAGCAGGGGAUCGCAAGACCUUGCGCUGAUUGAGCGGCCGAUAUCAGAUUAGCUAGUUGGUGAGGUAAAGGCUCACCAAGGCGACGAUCUGUAGCGGGUCUGAGAGGAUGAUCCGCCACACUGGAACUGAGACACGGUCCAGACUCCUACGGGAGGCAGCAGUGGGGAAUUUUGGACAAUGGGCGCAAGCCUGAUCCGGCCAUGCCGCGUGAGUGAAGAAGGCCUCGGUU